CGGGGUGUAGCUUAGCCCGGUAGAGCGCCUGCUUCGGGAGCAGGAGGUCGCAGGUUCAAAUCCUGUCACCCCGA
Molecule: transfer RNA, 74 nt
Filed under: Gemmatimonas sp.
Lineage: Bacteria; Pseudomonadati; Gemmatimonadota; Gemmatimonadia; Gemmatimonadales; Gemmatimonadaceae
Also listed under: 3 other names
Description: tRNA-Pro
Rfam family: tRNA
About the family: Transfer RNA (tRNA) molecules are approximately 80 nucleotides in length. Their secondary structure includes four short double-helical elements and three loops (D, anti-codon, and T loops).
Source: RNAcentral